GCCUACGGGAGGCAGCAGUGAGGAAUAUUGGUCAAUGGGCGGAAGCCUGAUGGAGCAACGCCGCGUGGGUGAAGAAGGUCUUCGGAUCGUAAAACCCUGUUGUUAGAGAAGAAAGUGCGUGAGAGUAACUGUUCACGUUUCGACGGUAUCUAACCAGAAAGCCACGGCUAACUACGUGCCAGCAGCCGCGGUAAUACGUAGGUGGCAAGCGUUAUCCGGAUUUAUUGGGCGUAAAGGGAACGCAGGCGGUCUUUUAAGUCUGAUGUGAAAGCCUUCGGCUUAACCGGAGUAGUGCAUUGGAAACU
RNAcentral lists this ribosomal RNA (305 nucleotides) under uncultured bacterium. RNAcentral describes it as "bacterial SSU rRNA". It matches the Rfam family "Bacterial small subunit ribosomal RNA", at positions 337 to 634 of the family's 1533-position model. The record is from RNAcentral.